Molecule: unclassified non-coding RNA, 279 nt
Filed under: plant metagenome
Description: partial contains small subunit ribosomal RNA, internal transcribed spacer 1, and 5.8S ribosomal RNA
Source: RNAcentral
UCUCCGUAGGUGAACCAGCGGAAGGAUCAUUACCGAAUUGUCAAACGGGAUGUUGCUGGUCAUCAAACGGGGACAUGUGCAAGCUCUGUGUACACACCCACUCACACCUGUGCACCCUCCGUAGUGAUAUGGUAUGGGGGAUCCUGCGUUCAUGGCGCGGUUAAACGUCAUUAAAUACAAUCUGUAAUAAAGUCUAAUGGAAGGUAUGCCGCGUCGAAAGAAACACAAUAAAACGUUGAGCAAAGGAUGUCAUGGCUCUCGCAUAGAUGAAGAACGGAG